This 261-nucleotide ribosomal RNA is filed under the name uncultured soil bacterium. Its description in RNAcentral is "partial 16S ribosomal RNA". It matches the Rfam family "Bacterial small subunit ribosomal RNA", at positions 26 to 291 of the family's 1533-position model. The record is from RNAcentral.
AGAUUGAACGCUGGCGGCAUGGCUAAAACAUGCAAGUCGAACGCGAAAGGGGGCAACCCCGAGUAGAGUGGCGAAAGGGCGAGUAAUGCGUUUCUAACGUACCCCGGGCUCACGGAUAGCUCGCCGAAAGGCGGAUUAAUACGUGAUGACACCGCGAGACUAAAUGGUCUUGCGUUCAAAGGCUUGCCGGCCCGGGAGCGGGGAACGUCCUAUCAGGUAGUUGGUGGGUAAUGGCCCACAAGCCUAAGACGGGUAGCGGGU